Non-coding RNA from Glycine max (soybean), 119 nucleotides. The record is from Rfam. NCBI's taxonomy places the organism in Eukaryota, Viridiplantae, Streptophyta, Magnoliopsida, Fabales, Fabaceae.
AGCCGUGUGAUAAGUACAGAGGAACUAUUCUAUUCUUUUGCCUUUUACUAAAGAAUAUUGUGUGCUUGUCACUUUAAGCGGCAUAAGCCAAUUUUUGAAUAAGGGUUUUUAGAUAGAUG